UUCACCUUCCUCUUCCGCUACCCCUUCCCCUACAUGUCCUGGCCGCGCUUCCUUGGCCGGCGACGUUGUCUUCGCUCGCCAAGGCGGUCGAUUCUGGGAAGCACAACUCCGGCGCCUCUACCCGAACAACAGCAUGUCCCGGCCACGACGCCCUUGGCCCCAUUGCCAAUUGAAGAUCGCCUUCACCGCCCUCUUCGCUCGCCAAGAUGGCCGAGAUAUCUCAAGGCAUUAUCUUCUCGAAAUGGCAUACAAAUGGUAGGUUUCAUGAUCAUUCAGAUAUUCCAGUUACUCGGAUUGCUCAGCACCAAGCCUCCAAAUAAGUGGCUUACCCCUGCAACCUAAACUCACUAUCAGUGAUUGUGUACAUAUUGGGGCCUUUUGCAUUGGUGAAGACAUAUGAUACAGUGACAGAUGACACUAAAUGGGACCUCUACUCCAAAUAAGUGGCUCACCCUGCAACCUGAAUUCACUAUCAGUGGUUGUGUAUAUAUUGGGGCCUUUUGCAUUGGUGAAGACACAUGAUACAAUGACAGAUGACACUAAAUCGGACCUCGGCAAAGUUAUCAGUACUUACAUAUGCAUUGUAUGAUGGCACUGGCCUGUAAGUCAAAAUACUGUCGUUGCAUCUCACAUAUCUAAAUCAGAUCUCCACGGAUGGUGGCUGCGAGUGCCCCAUCACUUGACAUAUCUAUACAGACAAGUGCACCUCCAACUGUGGAACGCCCAGAUUAGAGAAUGUAGUCCUUAAUUUUUAGGCCACAUGGUAUUUAGUUCCUGCCUGCUAUGUGGUAGCUGUCGCUUUCGUCCUACAUCAUAGUAUGCAAUCUUUGUUUUCUUCGGACCAUAUCAUGUCCCUGUGUACUACAUAAGUGUUAAGCUGAUGUACUGUUUACUUCCUGUAAUGUGUUGUUGAUUCAAUGCUCUAUCGCUACAACUUAUUUUUCCUCCCUUCA
Molecule: non-coding RNA, 953 nt
Organism: Lolium perenne
Lineage: Eukaryota; Viridiplantae; Streptophyta; Magnoliopsida; Poales; Poaceae
Source: RefSeq, a predicted model, not a curated record